This 253-nucleotide ribosomal RNA is filed under the name uncultured bacterium. Its description in RNAcentral is "partial 16S ribosomal RNA". It matches the Rfam family "Bacterial small subunit ribosomal RNA", at positions 524 to 776 of the family's 1533-position model. The record is from RNAcentral.
UACGUAGGGUGCAAGCGUUAAUCGGAAUUACUGGGCGUAAAGCGUGCGCAGGCGGUUAUGUAAGACAGAUGUGAAAUGCCCGGGCUUAACCUGGGAACUGCAUUUGUGACUGCAUGGCUAGAAUCUGGCAGAGGGGGGUGGAAUUCCACGUGUAGCAGUGAAAUGCGUAGAGAUGUGGAGGAACACCGAUGGCGAAGGCAGCCCCCUGGGCUAACACUGACGCUCAUGCACGAAAGCGUGGGGAGCAAACAGG